Molecule: ribosomal RNA, 253 nt
Filed under: uncultured bacterium
Lineage: Bacteria
Description: partial 16S ribosomal RNA
Rfam family: Bacterial small subunit ribosomal RNA
Source: RNAcentral
UACGGAGGGUGCAGGCGUUGUCCGGAAUCACUGGGCGUAAAGGGCGCGUAGGCGGCUCAUGAAGGCUGUGGUGAAAGUCCGGGGCUCAACCUCGGAUCGGCCGUGGCGACUCGUGGGCUGGAGCACUGUAGAGGCGGGUGGAAUUCCGGGUGUAGCGGUGGAAUGCGUAGAGAUCCGGAAGAACACCAGUGGCGAAGGCGGCCCGCUGAGCAGUGGCUGACGCUGAGGAGCGAAAGCGUGGGGAGCGAACAGG